RNAcentral lists this transfer RNA (72 nucleotides) under Candidatus Chisholmbacteria bacterium RIFCSPHIGHO2_01_FULL_52_32. RNAcentral describes it as "tRNA-Met". It matches the Rfam family "tRNA". Rfam says of the family: Transfer RNA (tRNA) molecules are approximately 80 nucleotides in length. RNAcentral also lists the same sequence under 1 other name. Lineage: Bacteria; Candidatus Chisholmiibacteriota. The record is from RNAcentral.
GCUAGGGUAGCUCAGUGGCAGAGCGGUCGUUUCAUAAGCGAUAGGUCGUGGGUUCGAAUCCCACCCCUAGCA